CCUACGGGUGGCAGCAGUGAGGAAUAUUGGUCAAUGGACGAAAGUCUGAACCAGCCAUGCCGCGUGCAGGAAGACGGCUCUAUGAGUUGUAAACUGCUUUUGUACAAGGGUAAACCUCAAUACGUGUAUUCCACUGCACGUCCUGUACGAAUCAGGAUCGGCUAACUCCGUGCCAGCAGCCGCGGUAAUACGGAGGGUCCAAGCGUUAUCCGGAUUUAUUGGGUUUAACGGGUGCGUAGGCGGAUUUAUAAGUUAGAGGUGAAAUUUCCGGGCUCAACUCGGGAACUGCCUCUAAUACUGUUGAGCUAGAGAGUAGAUGAGGUAGGCGGAAUGUACGGUGUAGCGGUGAAAUGCGUAGAGAUCAGACAGAACACCGAUUGCGAAGGCAGCUUACCAAGCUAUAUCUGACGUUGAGGCACGAAAGCGUGGGGAGCAAACAGGAUUAGAUACCCCAGUAGUC
Molecule: ribosomal RNA, 460 nt
Filed under: uncultured bacterium
Lineage: Bacteria
Description: partial 16S ribosomal RNA
Rfam family: Bacterial small subunit ribosomal RNA
Source: RNAcentral